GAAAGUAAAGAAGGGCGCAUGGCGGAUGCCUUGGCUCUCGGAGGCGAUGAAGGACGUGAUAAGCUGCGAUAAGCUUUGGGGAGGUGCAAAUGACCUUUGAUCCAGAGAUUUCCGAAUGGGACAACCCAAUAUCUUGAAGAGGUAUUAUCCAACGUUGUUGGAGGCUAACGCAGGGAACUGAAACAUCUUAGUACCUGCAGGAAAAGAAAAUAAACAAUGAUUCCCCCAGUAGUGGCGAGCGAACGGGGAACAGCCCAAACCAUCCAUGUUACGGCAUGGGUGGGGUUGUAGGACUACGCCGUUGCAUGAAGACAUCAGAGAAGAACUUUCUGGAAAGAAAGACCAUAGAGCAUGACAGUUGCGUAUUCGAAUGUUGUCGAAGCAUAGUAGUAUCCUGAGUAGCGCGGAGCACGAGGAAUUCUGCGUGAAUCUGCCGGGACCAUCCGGUAAGGCUAAAUACUCCCGAGAGACCGAUAGCGAACCAGUACUGUGAAGGAAAGGUGAAAAGCACUUCGAAUAGAAGAGUGAAAUAGUCCCUGAAACCAUGCGCCUACAAGCGGUCGGAGCAGCUUAAGUUGUGACGGCGUGCCUUUUGCAUAAUGAACCUACGAGUUACUUUUUCCGGCAAGGUUAAGCAUCUUGAGAUGUGGAGCCGAAGCGAAAGCGAGUCUGAACAGGGCGGAUAGUCGGAAGGAGUAGACGCGAAACCAAGUGAUCUACCCUUGGGCAGGUUGAAGGUUAGGUAACACUAACUGGAGGACCGAACCGAUAAGCGUUGAAAAGCUUCCGGAUGAGCUGAGGGUGGGGGUGAAAGGCUAAUCAAACUUGGAGAUAGCUCGUACUCCCCGAAAUGCAUUUAGGUGCAGCCUUGAGAGUUACUAAUGUGAGGUAGAGCGACUGAUAAGAUGCGAGGGCUUCACCGCCUAUCAAGUCUUGACAAACUCCGAAUGCGUGUUAGUUCUAUGUCAGGAGUGAGGGCAUGGGUGCUAAGGUCCAUGUCCUAAAGGAGAACAAUCCGGACCAACAGCUAAGGUCCCGAAAUAAAUACUAAGUUGAACUAACGAAGUCAGAUUGCUAAGACAGCUAGGAUGUUGGCUUGGAAGCAGCCAUUCAUUUAAAGAGUGCGUAACAGCUCACUAGUCGAGGAGUUUGGCGUGGAUAAUAAUCGGGCAUAAGUGGUUUACCGAAGCUAUGGGAUGUGUAAACAUCGGUAGGGGAGCAUUCUACUCUGCGUCGAAGGUGAAGCGUAAGCUUUGCUGGAGCGUGUAGAAAAGCAAAUGUAGGUAUAAGUAACGAUAAAGGGGGUGAGAAACCCCCUCGCCGAAAGACUAAGGUUUCCUGAUCAACGCUAAUCGGAUCAGGGUCAGUCGGGUCCUAAGGCUCAGCCGAACGGCGAUGCCGAUGGCAGAAACGGUUAAUAUUCCGUUACUACCUUCAGGAGUGACGUGGAGACGCAGUAGUGACAGUGCCGCCAUCUGACGGAAUAGAUGGUUGAAGGGUGUAGGAGUCGAUCAUGGCAGGCAAAUCCACCAUGAGAUCCGAACCUGAUAGUAUGCCGCGUCCUUCGGGACAAGGCAAUAGUGCGCGUAAGCAUGCUGCCGAGAAAAUCCGCUAAACUUAAUCCUGCAGGUACCCGUACCGCAAACGGACACACGUAGUCGGGAUGAAUAUUCUAAGGCGCUUGAGUGAUUCACGGUUAAGGAACUAGGCAAACUGACCCUGUAACUUCGGGAUAAAGGGUCCCUACCCUUUUAUGGGAGGGCGCAGAGAAUCGGUCCAGGCAACUGUUUAACAAAAACACAGGGCUGUGCCAAAUCGAAAGAUCCAGUAUACAGCCUGACACCUGCCCGGUGCUGGAAGGUUAAGAGGAGAUGUCAUCGAUAAGAGAAGCGUUGAAUUGAAGCCCCAGUAAACGGCGGCCGUAACUAUAACGGUCCUAAGGUAGCGAAAUUCCUUGUC
RNAcentral lists this ribosomal RNA (1959 nucleotides) under human gut metagenome. RNAcentral's name for it is "bacterial LSU rRNA". It matches the Rfam family "Bacterial large subunit ribosomal RNA", at positions 1 to 1973 of the family's 2925-position model. The record is from RNAcentral.